This 164-nucleotide small nuclear RNA is filed under the name Castor canadensis (American beaver). Its description in RNAcentral is "U1 spliceosomal RNA (ENSCCNG00000004964.1)". It matches the Rfam family "U1 spliceosomal RNA". Rfam says of the family: U1 is a small nuclear RNA (snRNA) component of the spliceosome (involved in pre-mRNA splicing). Its 5' end forms complementary base pairs with the 5' splice junction, thus defining the 5' donor site of an intron. The record is from Rfam by way of RNAcentral. Lineage: Eukaryota; Metazoa; Chordata; Mammalia; Rodentia; Castoridae.
AUAUUUACCUGGCAGGGGAGAUACCAUGAUCACAAAGGUGGUUUUCCCAGGGCGAGGCUUAUCCAUUGUACUCUGAAUGUGCUGACCCCUGUGAUUUCCCCAAAUGGGGGAAACUUGACUGCAUAAUUUGUGGUAGUAGGGGUCUGCGUUCGUGCUCUCCCCUA